UACGUAGGGGGCUAGCGUUGUCCGGAAUCAUUGUGCGUAAAGCGUGUGUAGGCGGGCCCGUAAGUGUCUUGUGAAAUCCCCCGGCUCAACCGGGGAACGGCUGGGCAUACUGCGGGUCUUGGGCCGACUAGGGGCAGCCGGAACAAGCGGUGGAGCGGUGAAAUGCGUAGAUAUCGCUUGGAACGCCGAAGGUGAAAACAGGCUGCUGGGGUCGCGCCGACGCUGAGACACGAAAGCCAGGGGAGCAAACGGG
This 253-nucleotide ribosomal RNA is filed under the name uncultured bacterium. RNAcentral's name for it is "partial 16S ribosomal RNA". It matches the Rfam family "Bacterial small subunit ribosomal RNA", at positions 524 to 776 of the family's 1533-position model. The record is from RNAcentral.